RNAcentral lists this ribosomal RNA (470 nucleotides) under uncultured bacterium. Its description in RNAcentral is "bacterial SSU rRNA". It matches the Rfam family "Bacterial small subunit ribosomal RNA", at positions 29 to 506 of the family's 1533-position model. The record is from RNAcentral.
ACUAACGCUGGCAGUGUGCCUUACACAUGCAAGUCGGACGGGGGACUUCGGUCCCUAGUGGCAAACGGGUGAGUAAUGGAUAGGUGAUCUACCGAGAAGAUGGGGAUACCCCCUUGAAAGAGGGAACAUUACCCAGUAAGCUCCGCAAGGAGGAAAGGUGGUGCAAGCCACCGCUUUUCGACGAGCCUAUCUCCUAUCAGCUAGUUGGUGAGGUAACGGCUCACCAAGGCUAUGACAGGUAGCUGGUCUGAGAGGAAGAUCAGCCACACUGGAACUGAGACACGGUCCAGACUCCUACGGGAGGCAGCAGUGGGGAAUUUUGGGCAAUGAGCGAAAGCUUGACCCAGCGACACUGCGUGGGCGAUGAAGAUCUUUGGAUUGUAAAGCCCUUUUAUGGAAGAGUAAGGAGAUGAUUAGGAAAUGAGUCGUCUCUUGCAAGUAUUUCAUGAAGAAGCCCCAGCCAACUACGU